ACGCUCGACACCUACGGGAGCAGCAGUAGGGAAUCUUCCACAAUGGACGCAAGUCUGAUGGAGCAACGCCGCGUGAGUGAAGAAGGUUUUCGGAUCGUAAAGCUCUGUUGUUGGUGAAGAAGGAUAGAGGUAGUAACUGGCCUUUAUUUGACGGUAAUCAACCAGAAAGUCACGGCUAACUACGUGCCCGCAGCCGCGGUAAUCUGAGCGGGCUGGCAAGGC
Molecule: ribosomal RNA, 222 nt
Filed under: uncultured bacterium
Lineage: Bacteria
Description: partial 16S ribosomal RNA
Rfam family: Bacterial small subunit ribosomal RNA
Source: RNAcentral